GCAGGUUAAUUAAGGGUAUAUGGCGGAUGCCUUGACACUAGAAGGCGACGAAGGACGUGGCGUAACUGCGAUAAGUCUCGGGGAGGUGUGUAGCAACCUGUGAUCCGGGAAUUUCCGAAUGAGGAAACUCAAUUGCGUCUAAACGCAAUUGCUCCGACCUUGUGUCGGAGCGCGAACUCGGCGAAGUGAAACAUCUCAGUAGCCGGAGGAAUAGAGAACAAAAGUAAUUCCCCAAGUAGUGGCGAGCGAAAAGGGAAAAGCCCAAACCUACCGAUGCUCUGCAUCGGAAAUUCCAAGAAACAAGAAACAACAACCAAAUAAUUUGGAAUUUGUAUCUUGGUGAUUGGUGCUUCCGCUGCAUAGCAGCGGUGGGGGUAGUAAGAUAAUAACAUUAGAGAAAUCUUAAAGAGUGAUAAAAAAUUAAGACUUCCUUAAUUGAAAGAACUGGAAAGUUCUACCAUAGAAGGUAAUAGUCCUGUAGAUGAAAAGGGUCUUAUACUCUUGGUUGUUAAUCUUGAGUAUUGCGAGAACAUGUAAUCUCGCAAGAAACAUCCUGAACUAUCUAGGAAAGGCUAAAUACUUCUAGUGAUCGAUAGUGAACUAGUACCGUGAGGGAAAGGUGAAAAGUAGCCCGAUGAGGGCGUUGAAAUAGUACCUGAAACCAUAUACUUACAAAGAGUCGGAGUCCCGAUUUAUCGGGAUGACGGCGUGCUUUUUGCAGAACGAACCAACGAGUUUAUGUAUGUUGUUGUUUAAGUCCGAAUAGGAUGGAGGCAUAGGGAAACCGAGUGUUAAAAGCGCGAAUUAUAACAAUAUGCAUAAGACCCGAAGCCAGGUGAGCUACCCAUGGACAGGAUGAACCCCGAUGAAAAUCGGGGGAAGGUCCGAAUCCACCAGCCGUGCAAUACUGGGGAAUGAGCUGUGGGUUGGAGUGAAAAGCUAAUCGAACCUGGUAAUAGCUGGUUCUCCUCGAAAUAUGUUUAGGCAUAGCCUCUUGUUUUUCUCCUUAGGGGUAGAGCACUAAAUUGGUUGAGGUGGCGUAAGCCUACUCACUAAAUUAAACUCCGAAUACUAAGGCAGACAGCAAGGGAGUAAGACCGUGGGGGCUAAGCUCCAUGGUCAAAAGGGAAAUAGCCCAGACCGCCAUCUAAGGUCCCAAAAUUAAAUUAAGUGGUAAAAGAAGUGUUUUGUCUUUGACAGAUGGGAUGUUGGCUCAGAAGUAGCCAUCAUUUAAAGAGUGUGUAACAACUCACCAUUCUAUCCCUUUAUUGGGUAUGAUGAGACGCGCUGAAAAUGUAACGGGGCUCAAAUUUAAUACCGAAGAUGCGGAUCUCCGACCUUGCGUCGGAGGUGGUAGAGGAGCAUUUUUCCAACAGUGAAGGUUCGACGUGAGUCGGGCUGGAGUUGGAAGAAGAGAGAAUGUUGGUAUGAGUAACCACAAGUCCGAUGAGAAAUCGGACCACCGAAAGCCUCAGGUUUCCUUGGCAAUGUAAAUCAGCCAAGGGUUAGGCGGAUCUAAGACAAACCCGAAAGGGGUAGUUGAUGUUCAGUCGGUUAAUAUUCCGACCCUUCUAUAUUUUUUCUACGGAGUGACAGGAUUUAGUAGUUGAAGCAGAUUAUUGGAUUUCUGUUUGUAUGUUAAGAAGCCAAGUUAGGCAAAUCCGGCUUGGAUUACUUCAAGACACUCAAGAAGUUUCGGUUUCGAUCGGAACGACUUUAAUGAGCAAGUCCUCGAGAAAAACUUCUAUGUUCGCCAAUCGGCGAAAGAAAUAUAGAAUCCGUACCGUAAACUGACACAGGUGGGCGAGGCGAGAAGCCUAAGGUGAACGGGUUAACCUUCGUUAAGGAACUCGGCAAAACAACGGCCGUAAGUUCGCAAUAAGGCCUUCCCCGAUUUAUCGGGGACGCAGCUAAAGAUUCCUAGCGACUGUUUACUAAAAACACAGGUCCCUGCUAACUCGUAAGAGGAUGUAUAGGGGCUGACACUUGACCAGUGCUGGAAGGUUAAUAGUGCCGGUUGUGGCCGCAAGGUUACAGCUGAGUGCUUGAAGCCCCAGUGAACGUCGGCGAUAACUAUAAUCGUCCUAAGGUACCGAAAUUCCUUGACAUGUAAGUUAUGUCCUGCAGGAAAAGUGUAACGACUGGGAAACUGUCUCAACGAAGAGCCCGGUGAAAAUGCAAUGUCAGUGAAGAUGCUGACUACCCGCGACAAGACGAAAAGACCCCAGGAGCUUUACUAUAUCUUGGUAUUGUUUUAACGAUUUUGAUGCGUAGCGUAGAUGGUAGGAUUUGAAGUCUCGAUUUUGGUUGGGA
This 2313-nucleotide ribosomal RNA is filed under the name wastewater metagenome. RNAcentral's name for it is "bacterial LSU rRNA". It matches the Rfam family "Bacterial large subunit ribosomal RNA", at positions 1 to 2180 of the family's 2925-position model. The record is from RNAcentral.